UACGGGGGGAGCAAGCGUUGUUCGGAUUUACUGGGCGUAAAGGGCGCGUAGGCGGGAUGGCAAGUCGGUCGUGAAAUCCCUCGGCUCAACCGAGGAACGUCGAUCGAUACUGCUGUUCUUGAGGAUUGCAGAGGAGACUGGAAUUCCCGGUGUAGCGGUGAAAUGUGUAGAGAUCGGGAGGAACACCGGUGGCGAAGGCGGGUCUCUGGGCAAUUCCUGACGCUGAGGCGCGAAAGCGUGGGGAGCAAACGGG
Molecule: ribosomal RNA, 253 nt
Filed under: uncultured bacterium
Lineage: Bacteria
Description: partial 16S ribosomal RNA
Rfam family: Bacterial small subunit ribosomal RNA
Source: RNAcentral